GACGUAGGGCGCGAGCGUGGUCCGGAUUUAUUGGGCGUAAAGAGCUCGUAGGCGGCUUGUCGCGUCGAAUGUGAAAACUCGGGGCUCAACUCCGAGCUUGCAUUCGAUACGGGCAGGCUAGAGUUCGGUAGGUGAGACUGGAAUUCCUGGUGUAGCGGUGAAAUGCGCAGAUAUCAGGAGGGACACCGAUGGCGAAGGCAGGUCUCUGGGCCGAUACUGACGCUGAGGAGCGAAAGCGUGGGGAGCGAACAGG
Molecule: ribosomal RNA, 253 nt
Filed under: uncultured bacterium
Lineage: Bacteria
Description: partial 16S ribosomal RNA
Rfam family: Bacterial small subunit ribosomal RNA
Source: RNAcentral